This 406-nucleotide unclassified non-coding RNA is filed under the name soil metagenome. RNAcentral describes it as "partial contains 5.8S ribosomal RNA, internal transcribed spacer 2, and large subunit ribosomal RNA". The stretch from base 1 to 122 matches the Rfam family "5.8S ribosomal RNA", at positions 35 to 154 of the family's 154-position model. The record is from RNAcentral.
GAUGAAGAACGUAGUAAAAUGCGAUACUUGGUGUGAAUUGCAGAAUCCCGUGAACCAUCGAGUUUUUGAACGCAAGUUGCGCCCGAAGCCUUUUGGCCGAGGGCACGUCUGCCUGGGCGUCACGCAUCGCGUCGCCCCCCCCCCAAUUCUCUGUAAAGGGAACUCGUGUUUUGGGGGCGGAUAUUGGUCUCCCGUGCUCAUGGCGUGGUUGGCCGAAAUAGGAGUCCCUUCGAUGGACGCACGAACUAGUGGUGGUCGUAAAAACCCUCGUCUUUUGUUUCGUGCUGUCAGUCGCGAGGGAAACUCUAAGAAAACCCCAACGUGUCAUCUUUUGACGGCGCUUCGACCGCGACCCCAGGUCAGGCGGGACUACCCGCUGAGUUUAAGCAUAUCAAUAAGCGGAGGA